This 724-nucleotide ribosomal RNA is filed under the name Lactiplantibacillus plantarum. RNAcentral describes it as "bacterial SSU rRNA". It matches the Rfam family "Bacterial small subunit ribosomal RNA", at positions 56 to 747 of the family's 1533-position model. The record is from RNAcentral. Lineage: Bacteria; Bacillati; Bacillota; Bacilli; Lactobacillales; Lactobacillaceae.
UGCAGUCGACGAACUCUGGUAUUGAUUGGUGCUUGCAUCAUGAUUUACAUUUGAGUGAGUGGCGAACUGGUGAGUAACACGUGGGAAACCUGCCCAGAAGCGGGGGAUAACACCUGGAAACAGAUGCUAAUACCGCAUAACAACUUGGACCGCAUGGUCCGAGUUUGAAAGAUGGCUUCGGCUAUCACUUUUGGAUGGUCCCGCGGCGUAUUAGCUAGAUGGUGGGGUAACGGCUCACCAUGGCAAUGAUACGUAGCCGACCUGAGAGGGUAAUCGGCCACAUUGGGACUGAGACACGGCCCAAACUCCUACGGGAGGCAGCAGUAGGGAAUCUUCCACAAUGGACGAAAGUCUGAUGGAGCAACGCCGCGUGAGUGAAGAAGGGUUUCGGCUCGUAAAACUCUGUUGUUAAAGAAGAACAUAUCUGAGAGUAACUGUUCAGGUAUUGACGGUAUUUAACCAGAAAGCCACGGCUAACUACGUGCCAGCAGCCGCGGUAAUACGUAGGUGGCAAGCGUUGUCCGGAUUUAUUGGGCGUAAAGCGAGCGCAGGCGGUUUUUUAAGUCUGAUGUGAAAGCCUUCGGCUCAACCGAAGAAGUGCAUCGGAAACUGGGAAACUUGAGUGCAGAAGAGGACAGUGGAACUCCAUGUGUAGCGGUGAAAUGCGUAGAUAUAUGGAAGAACACCAGUGGCGAAGGCGGCUGUCUGGUCUGUAACUGACGCU